This 253-nucleotide ribosomal RNA is filed under the name uncultured bacterium. Its description in RNAcentral is "partial 16S ribosomal RNA". It matches the Rfam family "Bacterial small subunit ribosomal RNA", at positions 524 to 776 of the family's 1533-position model. The record is from RNAcentral.
UACGGGGGGGGCAAGCGUUGUUCGGAAUUACUGGGCGUAAAGGGCUCGUAGGCGGCCAACUAAGUCAGACGUGAAAUCCCUCGGCUUAACUUGGGAACUGCGUCUGAUACUGGGUGGCUUGAGUUCGGGAGAGGAAUGUGGAAUUCCAGGUGUAGCGGUGAAAUGCGUAGAUAUCUGGAGGAACACCGGUGGCGAAGGCGGCAUUCUGGACCGAAACUGACGCUGAGGCGCGAAAGCCAGGGGAGCAAACGGG